RNAcentral lists this ribosomal RNA (382 nucleotides) under Octogomphus specularis. RNAcentral describes it as "partial 16S ribosomal RNA". The record is from RNAcentral. Lineage: Eukaryota; Metazoa; Arthropoda; Insecta; Odonata; Libellulidae.
GUCCUCUUGUUUAUAUAUGAGGUCUGACCUGCCCGGUGAAUGAUUUUUAACGGCCGCGGUAUCUUGACCGUGCAAAGGUAGCAUAAUCAUUAGUCUUUUAAUAGGAGGCUGGUAUGAAGGGUUUGACGAGGUGUUAGCUGUCUCAUUUAAUUUGAAAUUAAAAUUUAACUUUUCAGUUAAAAGGCUGAAAUUUUGUUGGAAGACGAGAAGACCCUAUAGAGCUUUAUAAUUAAGGUUUUAAUUAAUUUUUGUUUAUUAUUAUUUUUUAUAACUAUUAAUUAUUUUGUUGGGGUGACAAAAAUAUAUAAUUAACUUUUUUAUUUUCUUAACAUUGAUUAAUGAUUUUUAGAUCCAAUUUUAUUGAUUGUUAGAUUAAGUUACC